CCUCGGGGGGCUGCAGUGGGGAAUAUUGGACAAUGGGCGAAAGCCUGAUCCAGCCAUGCCGCGUGUGUGAAGAAGGCCUUCGGGUUGUAAAGCACUUUCAGUGGGGAAGAAAGCCUUGGGGCUAAUACCCUCGAGGAAGGACAUCACCCACAGAAGAAGCACCGGCUAACUCCGUGCCAGCAGCCGCGGUAAUACGGAGGGUGCGAGCGUUAAUCGGAAUUACUGGGCGUAAAGCGCGCGUAGGCGGUCUGAUAAGCCGGUUGUGAAAGCCCCGGGCUCAACCUGGGAACGGCAUCCGGAACUGUCAGGCUAGAGUGCAGGAGAGGAAGGUAGAAUUCCCGGUGUAGCGGUGAAAUGCGUAGAGAUCGGGAGGAAUACCAGUGGCGAAGGCGGCCUUCUGGACUGACACUGACGCUGAGGUGCGAAAGCGUGGGUAGCAAACAGGAUUAGAUACCCCAGUAGC
RNAcentral lists this ribosomal RNA (463 nucleotides) under Vreelandella stevensii. Its description in RNAcentral is "partial 16S ribosomal RNA". It matches the Rfam family "Bacterial small subunit ribosomal RNA", at positions 339 to 794 of the family's 1533-position model. The record is from RNAcentral. Lineage: Bacteria; Pseudomonadati; Pseudomonadota; Gammaproteobacteria; Oceanospirillales; Halomonadaceae.